Arachis duranensis is the source of this 1819-nucleotide long non-coding RNA. RefSeq lists it as uncharacterized. The transcript has 8 exons. The record is from RefSeq and is a predicted model, not a curated record. NCBI's taxonomy places the organism in Eukaryota, Viridiplantae, Streptophyta, Magnoliopsida, Fabales, Fabaceae.
GUCAAGUCACCAGGAUCGGCUGGGUAGUCCUGUUCAUUAGAAUAGAGCCGGAAGUUGCAAAUGUCUUCGUCUAUGGCAGCAAGGGAAAGCCGUGUGUCAAAGGAGAAAGAACUGAGUGAACCCCGAUGAAGAAGAAGGUUUAGCUGCAGAGACUAUGAGCACAAGGUGAAGAGAACAGCGAAGGGUAUCCCAGUAACCAGUAGGGUCGAGAUUGUAGCUGAAGAUUUGAAAGUCGGACUAAAUGGGAAGGGAGAUUUCGGAUCGGAAAAGUGGAACGGCGUUGGAAUCUGCUGCACAUCACGCGCUUGAAAGCAGGAAAAUAUUCUUGCAUACGUCUUCUUCUUCCUCCAAAUACAUACUGUUUCUACUGUUAGUUAUUUAUUCCAAAGUGGGAUUAACACUAUCGGGCUUCAGGUUUCAAUAUUUGUGUUCUUUUCUUUUGCUGUCUUUUUCAAGUAUUCAUUUUUUUUUGCAGUUUAGGGUUCCAGACAUAUUCAAACGAGUUGCAACUUAAAGUGUUGUCGGUAAUGGUUCUAUAAUUCACGGAUAAGCAUAGGAUUCUUGCAUAACUCAAGCGCCUCGAUCAUGACAUCAAAUUCCUUCAGGAGGAACAAGGUGUAGAACAUCUCUUCAAACACUUGCAGGAUUUUCCAGACAAUACGUACAGCAUUUUGAUAUUGUCCUUUAUUUAUUUAAUUAAUUUUGUUCAUUGCAAGAGGUCCGUUAACUCUUUCAAACCUCUAUAUUUAGGAGGAUAGGUGGGAACAUGGUUCAAGUUGGAGUAUAACCUUUGUACAAAGUUGACAGUAAAUUGGGUGAAGGUUAUGGUUACAUCCUGACCUUUAGAUAAGCAUACAUUGGUGAGAAUUGUGAGAAUUGCGGUUGUGCUCAAGGGAGAAGUACUUGGGGUGGAUUGUUUGAUACAGAUGACAAUGGCAUUUUUUAUUCCAAUGACCCAAACUAUGACAACACUGAGCUGCAUCUUUGAUUGGUUCAUUUGCCAAUUCAAAAAUUCUUGCUGCAUUUUCUGUUCCUACUGGGAAGAAUUCAUGUAAUAUUUUGAAAUACAAGAGUCUGAUCCUGAAUGUGAUUGCUUGAAUUGGUGGCAUGCUUUUUGGCUAUGAUACGCAGGUAUUUAUUUCAUUUCAUUUUGGAUUUCAUAUACACGAUUUAAAAAAAUCAUUAUUCCUUCUUUAAAUUCGUGUUUAUUAUACCACAUCUGCCUCUAAUGAUUCUUUCUGUUUCUGAUUGUGUGCAUCAAAGUUACUGAUUUCAUCUGAUUUCUUACUUAUAGUAGUUUAUUUGUGAAAUUCUAACGUGUGUUGACUGAAGAUAUGAGAGAUAUAUCAAGGCAUUUUUCCUCCUUCAAUCAUACUCCAAGUGUAAUUAAUAACCAAAACUUCUAUUUUACAAUUCAUUCUGUUUAAAGUAAGAACUGAGUUGUCACAAUCAAAACAAGAAAAUUUUGAUGCAGCUUUGUCUUUGGUGCAUCUAUUCUUUUAUAAUAUUUGUUUUAUACAUAAAAAAAAAUUGUAAUCUAACUUUAUGUUACUUACAUAUAUCAUAUGUCUAGACUGAUAAAAAGGUAAGUGAGGUGAUAUAGAGUUUAAAAUAGUUAAAUUAUGUUAUUCACCUAAGGCUCCGUACCAUCCCAUCUAAAUUGAACAUUGCUAAUUGCCAUUGUAACCGAUGCAAUUUUCAAUUCUCAUGGCCGCAUUCAAUUUUUUUUUACAUUUUUGAACUUCUUAAAUAUCAGUUUGUUUAUUUAUUGUUGUUUUGAUUGGUGUCGAAUGACUAAUAUGUGAUUAAUGACCCGGCU